AAAGUCGUAACAAGGUUUCCGUAGGUGAACCUGCGGAAGGAUCAUUAACAAUGGAACAUUAACAAAAAAAUGGUCCGCUUCGCAAAAACAGAAUCCAUAACUUGUGUGCACUCACUGAAACGUCUGAUGCCUUGGCAGCGCAGCGUCUGGACGACGGCGGGUUUAUGACCCGUGGCUUCCAGCGGGGACCGACAAUUGCUUGGUUUCCCGGCCUGCCAAGGUGAUUCAAUAUCAAACUUUGACGCAUCCAAAUUUUUUGCCUAAAAUUCGUUUUUGAAAUACAAACCAAAAACAACUUUCAACAACGGAUCUCUUGGUUCUC
RNAcentral lists this unclassified non-coding RNA (322 nucleotides) under Ascomycota sp. RNAcentral describes it as "partial contains small subunit ribosomal RNA, internal transcribed spacer 1, and 5.8S ribosomal RNA". The stretch from base 1 to 47 matches the Rfam family "Eukaryotic small subunit ribosomal RNA", at positions 1785 to 1831 of the family's 1831-position model. Lineage: Eukaryota; Fungi; Ascomycota. The record is from RNAcentral.